Molecule: ribosomal RNA, 468 nt
Filed under: uncultured bacterium
Lineage: Bacteria
Description: partial 16S ribosomal RNA
Rfam family: Bacterial small subunit ribosomal RNA (bases 12-374)
Source: RNAcentral
GACGAACGCUGGCGGCGUGCUUAACACAUGCAAGUCGAACGGAAAGGCCCUGCUUUUGUGGGGUGCUCGAGUGGCGAACGGGUGAGUAACACGUGAGUAACCUGCCCUUGACUUUGGGAUAACUUCAGGAAACUGGGGCUAAUACCGGAUAGGAGCUCCUGCUGCAUGGUGGGGGUUGGAAAGUUUCGGCGGUUGGGGAUGGACUCGCGGCUUAUCAGCUUGUUGGUGGGGUAGUGGCUUACCAAGGCUUUGACGGGUAGCCGGCCUGAGAGGGUGACCGGGGAGAGGGGGAGGGAGGUGCGGAGCAGGCGGCGGCGGGAGGCAGCAGGGGGGAGUGGGGCACGAGGGGCGGAAGGCUGAUGAAGCAGUGCCGCGGGGGGGAUGAGGGCGGGCGGGUGGGAAACAGCGUACGCCGGGGAAGAAGAGUGAGGGAAGGGAAGGGGUAAGGAAGAAAAGGCGAAUCAAGGG